UACCAUAUUUGCCCUUAAAUACCAAAUUUAUACCCUAUUACAUACAUAUGCCUCAUGAAGGUGGAAAAAGUAAAAAAUACCCUUAAAAAAUCAUGAAUCUACACAUUUCUUCCUCUCAUGGUUUCUUUCUCUCACCAUUCUUUUCUCAUGGUUUUCUCUUCUCACCAUUUUUUUCCGUUUUAAUGGUUCCGUUCUCCCUCAACACUUCAUUUCUCACCUCUAAUACAAAGGUUUUUAUAAAAAUAAAUUGUUCAAAAGAUGCAUUGUCAAGUGGUGGGUAAGAUAUGUUUGAAAUGCAACCUUUUUGUAUCCUUAGGGUUUGAUUUGACUUUAUUACAAGUAUGAUUGCUAAUGAUUUAUGAAUUUUAAUAGUACACUAUUCAUUUUUGUGCUUACACACACACUAUUGCAUAAAAUGUAGGGAUUUAAGACUCAAUUUAAGUUAUGAGUGAUUGAAAAAUCAGUCUAGGAAGAAGUCGAGUACAAAGUCGGGUAAGUCAAGAAUUUAGUCGAGUGAGAAGUGAAGGAGAUGAGUAAGUCGAGUAUCCGGUUGAGUAGGAAGUCAAGUAAAUAUAUUAAACGAGUCAAGUAUUAAGUUGAGUAAUUUUGAAAAUAAAUUGAGUAAAAGUCGAGUAAAUUUUUUGAACAAGUCGAGUAAGAGUUAUGUAAUUUUUAAAGAGAUCGAGUAUGAAGUCAGGUAAGUACAGUAUUUAGUCGAGUAAGAAAUGAAGCAGAUGAGUAAGUUGAGCAUCUGGUCAAGUAGGAAGUCGAGUAAGUACAUUAAAUGAGUCAAGUAUUAACAAUUUUUCAAAUAAAUUUAGUAAAAGUCGAGUAAAUAUUUUAAACAAGUCGUGUAACAGUUAUGUUAUUUUUUUAAAGAAGUUGAGUUCGAAGUCGAUAAGUCGAGUAUUCAAUAAAGUAAGAAAUGAAGUAAGUGAGUUGAGUAUGUCGAAUAGGAAGUCGAGUAAGUAGAUUAAAUAAGUCGAGUAUUAAGUUGAGAAAAAGCUAAGUAAUUUUUUAAACAAGUCGAAUAAAUGUCAAGUAAGUUUUUGAACACGUCGAGUAAGAGUUGAGUAAUAAUGUUGAGUAAGAAGUGAUUUGAUAAAGUCGAGUAAGUAUAUUGAAUGAGUCAAGUAU
Molecule: long non-coding RNA, 1137 nt
Filed under: Citrus x clementina
Lineage: Eukaryota; Viridiplantae; Streptophyta; Magnoliopsida; Sapindales; Rutaceae
Description: Citrus clementina (C. clementina) long non-coding RNA (CCLE_LNC000393)
Source: RNAcentral